This 249-nucleotide ribosomal RNA is filed under the name Escherichia coli. RNAcentral's name for it is "partial 16S ribosomal RNA". It matches the Rfam family "Bacterial small subunit ribosomal RNA", at positions 74 to 323 of the family's 1533-position model. The record is from RNAcentral. Lineage: Bacteria; Pseudomonadati; Pseudomonadota; Gammaproteobacteria; Enterobacterales; Enterobacteriaceae.
AGCAGCUUGCUGCUUUGCUGACGAGUGGCGGACGGGUGAGUAAUGUCUGGGAAACUGCCUGAUGGAGGGGGAUAACUACUGGAAACGGUAGCUAAUACCGCAUAACGUCGCAAGACCAAAGAGGGGGACCUUCGGGCCUCUUGCCAUCGGAUGUGCCCAGAUGGGAUUAGCUAGUAGGUGGGGUAAAGGCUCACCUAGGCGACGAUCCCUAGCUGGUCUGAGAGGAUGACCAGCCACACUGGAACUGAG